This 497-nucleotide ribosomal RNA is filed under the name uncultured bacterium. RNAcentral describes it as "partial 16S ribosomal RNA". It matches the Rfam family "Bacterial small subunit ribosomal RNA", at positions 28 to 507 of the family's 1533-position model. The record is from RNAcentral.
GAUGAACGCUGGCGGCGUGCCUAAUACAUGCAAAUCGAGCGAACAGACGAGGAGCUUGCUCCUCUGACGUUAGCGGCUGACGGGUGAGUAACACGUGGAUAACCUACCUAUAAUACUGGGAUAACUUCGGGAAACCGGAGCUAAUACCGGAUAACAUUUUGAACCUCAUGGUUCAACAGUGAAAGACGGUCUUUCUGUCACUUAUAGAUGGAUCCGCGCCGCAUUAGCUAGUUGGUAAGUUAACGGCUUACCAAGGCAACGAUUCGUAGCCGACCUGAGAGGGUGAGCGGACACACGGGAACGGAGACACGGUACAGACAACUAAGGGAGGGAGCAGUAGGGAAUAUUCCGAAAUGGGCGAAAGCAUGACGGAGCAAAGCCGAGUGAGUGAAGAAGGUCUUCGGAUCGUAAAACUCUGUUAUUAGGGAAGAAAAAAUGUGUAAGUAAAAAUGAACGUCGUGACGGUACCUAAUCAGAAAGCAACGGCUAACUACGUG